This 492-nucleotide ribosomal RNA is filed under the name uncultured bacterium. RNAcentral's name for it is "partial 16S ribosomal RNA". It matches the Rfam family "Bacterial small subunit ribosomal RNA", at positions 28 to 507 of the family's 1533-position model. The record is from RNAcentral.
GACGAACGCUGGCGGCGUGCCUAACACAUGCAAGUCGAACGACAACCCAGUGCUUGCUCUGGCGUAAAGCAGCCAACGGGUGAGUAACUCGUGGGUACCUCACCCCGUUAACUUGGACAGCGCGUGGAAACGCGGGCCAUUACCUAAUGCCCCCUCUGGCCUUCGGGUGAGUGCGGAAGAGAAUCUUCCCUUUCGCGAUCGGAUGAGCCGAUGUCGGAUUAGGUAGUUGGGGGGGUAAAGGCCCACCAAGGCGGCGAUCCGUAGCUGGUCUGAGAGGAUGAUCAGCCACACUGGAACUGAGACACGGCCCAGACUCCUACGGGAGGCAGCAGUGGGGAAUAUUGGGCAAUGGGCGAAAGCGUGAUGCAGCAACGCCGCGUGGGGGAAGAAGGCCUUCGGGUUGUAAACCCCUUUCGGGGGGGAAGAAGAGCCGGCGGUGAAUACCCGGCCGUACUGACGGUACCUAAACAAGAAGCCCCGGCUAACUACGUG